RNAcentral lists this ribosomal RNA (208 nucleotides) under uncultured bacterium. RNAcentral's name for it is "partial 16S ribosomal RNA". It matches the Rfam family "Bacterial small subunit ribosomal RNA", at positions 568 to 775 of the family's 1533-position model. The record is from RNAcentral.
CACGUAGGCGGGCUGUCAAGUCGGCCGUGAAAGGCACGGGCUCAACCUGUGCAUGUCGGUCGAUACUGGCGGUCUGGAGUAUGGGAGAGGGAACUGGAAUUCCCGGUGUAGCGGUGAAAUGCGUAGAUAUCGGGAGGAACGCCAGUGGCGAAGGCGGGUUCCUGGCCCAUGACUGACGCUGAGGUGCGAAAGCCGGGGGAGCGAACGG